UACGUAGGGACCAAGCGUUGUUCGGAUUUACUGGGCGUAAAGGGCGCGUAGGCGGCUUAACAAGUCACUUGUGAAAUCUCCGGGCUUAACCCGGAAAGGUCAAUCGAUACUGCGGGGCUAGAGUGCAGAAGGGGCAACUGGAAUUCUCGGUGUAGCGGUGAAAUGCGUAGAUAUCGAGAGGAACACCUGCGGCGAAGGCGGGUUGCUGGGCUGACACUGACGCUGAAGCGCGAAAGCUAGGGGAGCGAACGGG
Molecule: ribosomal RNA, 253 nt
Filed under: uncultured bacterium
Lineage: Bacteria
Description: partial 16S ribosomal RNA
Rfam family: Bacterial small subunit ribosomal RNA
Source: RNAcentral